AGCACAUUUGAACUGGUGAACAAAGACAUUAAGGCAGGUGCAAAAAUAAAUCCUCUUCUGUAACCCAGAACUCGCUGCUCAGUGUGAGUCUUGAUAUAUAUAUGAAGGAAUAUA
Molecule: small nucleolar RNA, 114 nt
Filed under: Nannospalax galili (Upper Galilee mountains blind mole rat)
Lineage: Eukaryota; Metazoa; Chordata; Mammalia; Rodentia; Spalacidae
Description: Small nucleolar RNA SNORA40 (ENSNGAG00000009138.1)
Rfam family: Small nucleolar RNA SNORA40
About the family: The snoRNA ACA 40 belongs to the H/ACA family of snoRNAs and guides the pseudouridylation of 28S rRNA subunit at position U4565.
Source: Rfam by way of RNAcentral